Molecule: ribosomal RNA, 482 nt
Filed under: uncultured bacterium
Lineage: Bacteria
Description: bacterial SSU rRNA
Rfam family: Bacterial small subunit ribosomal RNA
Source: RNAcentral
GACGAACGCUGGCGGCGUGCUUAACACAUGCAAGUCGAGCGGAAAGGCCACUUCGGUGGUACUCGAGCGGCGAACGGGUGAGUAACACGUGAGUAAUCUGCCCCUGGCUUCGGGAUAGCCACCGGAAACGGUGAUUAAUACCGGAUAUGACAUUCCCUCGCAUGGGGGUGUGUGGAAAGUUUUUCGGCCAGGGAUGUGCUCGCGGCCUAUCAGCUUGAUGGUGAGGUAAUGGCUCACCAUGGCUUCGACGGGUAGCCGGCCUGAGAGGGUGACCGGCCACACUGGGACUGAGACACGGCCCAGACUCCUACGGGAGGCAGCAGUGGGGAAUAUUGGACAAUGGGCGGAAGCCUGAUCCAGCAACGCCGCGUGAGGGAUGACGGCCUUCGGGUUGUAAACCUCUUUCAGUACCGACGAAGCGAAAGUGACGGUAGGUACAGAAGAAGCACCGGCCAACUACGUGCCAGCAGCCGCCGUAACAC